CCUACGGGAGGCAGCAGUGGGGAAUAUUGGACAAUGGGCGCAAGCCUGAUCCAGCAAUACCGCGUGAGUGAUGAAGGUCUUCGGAUUGUAAAGCUCUUUUAGUGGAGAAGAUAAUGACGGUAUCCACAGAAAAAGCACCGGCAAACUUCGUGCCAGCAGCCGCGGUAAUACGAAGGGUGCUAGCGUUGUUCGGAAUCAUUGGGCGUAAAGCGUACGUAGGCGGUUUAGUAAGUCGAUUGUGAAAUACCCGAGCUCAACUUGGGAAUUGCAAUCGAAACUGCUUUGCUAGAGUUUAGUGGGGGAUAGUGGAAUUCCUAGUGUAGGGGUGAAAUCCGUAGAUAUUAGGAGGAACAUCAGUGGCGAAGGCGACUAUCUACGCUAAUACUGACGCUAAGGUACGAAAGCGUGGGGAGCAAACAGGAUUAGAUACCCUGGUAGUCCACGCAGUAAACGAUGAGUGCUAGUUGUCGGGGUCUUAGACUUCGGUGGCGAAGCUAACGCGUUAAGCACUCCGCCUGGGGACUCGGUCGCAGCAAACUUAAAUGAAUUGACGGCUGGAGAGUUGCGAGAGACACGAGGAGAG
RNAcentral lists this ribosomal RNA (583 nucleotides) under uncultured bacterium. Its description in RNAcentral is "bacterial SSU rRNA". It matches the Rfam family "Bacterial small subunit ribosomal RNA", at positions 338 to 943 of the family's 1533-position model. The record is from RNAcentral.